This 169-nucleotide ribosomal RNA is filed under the name uncultured bacterium. RNAcentral's name for it is "partial 16S ribosomal RNA". It matches the Rfam family "Bacterial small subunit ribosomal RNA", at positions 338 to 524 of the family's 1533-position model. The record is from RNAcentral.
CCUACGGGAGGCAGCAGUGGGGAAUAUUGGACAAUGGGCGCAAGCCUGAUCCAGCCAUGCCGCGUGAGUGAUGAAGGCCUUAGGGUUGUAAAGCUCUUUUAUCCGGGACGAUAAUGACGGUACCGGAGGAAUAAGCCCCGGCUAACUCCGUGCCAGCAGCCGCGGUAAU